Molecule: ribosomal RNA, 226 nt
Filed under: uncultured bacterium
Lineage: Bacteria
Description: partial 16S ribosomal RNA
Rfam family: Bacterial small subunit ribosomal RNA
Source: RNAcentral
UACGUAGGGUGCAAGCGUUAAUCGGAAUUACUGGGCGUAAAGCGUGCGCAGGCGGUUAUGUAAGACAGAUGUGAAAUGCCCGGGCUUAACCUGGGAACUGCAUUUGUGACUGCAUGGCUAGAAUCUGGCAGAGGGGGGUAGAAUUCCACGUGUAGCAGUGAAAUGCGUAGAUAUGUGGAGGAACACCGGAUGGACGAAGGCAGCCCCCUGGGUCAAGAUUGACGCU